This 467-nucleotide ribosomal RNA is filed under the name uncultured bacterium. RNAcentral's name for it is "partial 16S ribosomal RNA". It matches the Rfam family "Bacterial small subunit ribosomal RNA", at positions 28 to 506 of the family's 1533-position model. The record is from RNAcentral.
GACGAACGCUGGCGGCGUGCUUAACACAUGCAAGUCGAACGGAAAGGCCCUGCUUUUGUGGGGUGCUCGAGUGGCGAACGGGUGAGUAACACGUGAGUAACCUGCCCUUGACUUUGGGAUAACUACAGGAAACUGGGGCUAAUACCGGAUAGGAGCUCCUGCUGCAUGGUGGGGGUUGGAAAGUUUCGGCGGUUGGGGAUGGACUCGCGGCUUAUCAGCUUGUUGGUGGGGUAGUGGCUUACCAAGGCUUUGACGGGUAGCCGGCCUGAGAGGGUGACCGGCCACAUUGGGACUGAGAUACGGCCCAGACUCCUACGGGAGGCAGCAGUGGGGAAUAUUGCACAAUGGGCGGAAGCCUGAUGCAGCAACGCCGCGUGCGGGAGGACGGCCUUCGGGUGGUAAACCGCUUUCGCCUGUGACGAAGCGUGAGUGACGGUAAUGGGUAAAGAAGCACCGGCGAACUACGU